UUUUGCGAUUGAUCNNNGGGCUCACCUCUUACCAUUCCGAACAGAGAAGUUAAGCCCAUUAGCGCCGAUGGUACUGCCACAGGUGGGAGAGUAGGUCGUUGCCUUUCU
This 108-nucleotide ribosomal RNA is filed under the name Tenacibaculum maritimum. Lineage: Bacteria; Pseudomonadati; Bacteroidota; Flavobacteriia; Flavobacteriales; Flavobacteriaceae. The record is from RNAcentral.